GACGAACGCUGGCGGCGUGCUUAACACAUGCAAGUCGAACGGAAAGGCCCUGCUUUUGUGGGGUGCUCGAGUGGCGAACGGGUGAGUAACACGUGAGUAACCUGCCCUUGACUUUGGGAUAACUUCAGGAAACUGGGGCUAAUACCGGAUAGGAGCUCCUGCUGCAUGGUGGGGGUUGGAAAGUUUCGGCGGUUGGGGAUGGACUCGCGGCUUAUCAGCUUGUUGGUGGGGUAGUGGCUUACCAAGGCUUUGCCGGGUAGCCGGCCUGAGAGGGUGACCGGACCAAUUGGGACUGAGGUCAGGCCCAGACUCCUAUGGGAGGCAGCAGUGGGGAAUAGUGCACAAUGGGCGGAAGCCUGAUGCAGCAACGCCGCGUGCGGGAUGACGGCCUUCGGGUUGUAAACCGCUUUCGCCUGUGACGAAGCGUGAGUGACGGUAAUGGGUAAAGAAGCACCGGCUAACUACGUG
This 468-nucleotide ribosomal RNA is filed under the name uncultured bacterium. Its description in RNAcentral is "partial 16S ribosomal RNA". It matches the Rfam family "Bacterial small subunit ribosomal RNA", at positions 28 to 507 of the family's 1533-position model. The record is from RNAcentral.